GGAAGGGGAAGCUCAUCAAUGGGUCCAUGCGCUGAGUGCUCGAGUGCUCGUCACUGCCCAGCCCUUGGAAAGGUCUGAGACUUGGGCCUCCAGCGGCCCUAACCUUGUUGUCCCCGAGUGGGGAGUUGAGUUCCCAGAGAGCAGGGCUCCACGCGUGGGCAUACUGGGCAGGAGAUGCCCAGAGUGGGCAGAUGCCUCCCUUGCCCAAGCUUGGAACAGACUCAAGGCCAGCACAAAGCGAGUUCAAUGGCUGAGGUGAAGUACCUCCUGGGCCUCAUAACCCAUUUCAGACUACUUUUUCUUACUCUUUC
Molecule: RNase P RNA, 311 nt
Filed under: Meriones unguiculatus (Mongolian gerbil)
Lineage: Eukaryota; Metazoa; Chordata; Mammalia; Rodentia; Muridae
Description: Nuclear RNase P (ENSMUGG00000003724.1)
Rfam family: Nuclear RNase P
About the family: Ribonuclease P (RNase P) is a ubiquitous endoribonuclease, found in archaea, bacteria and eukarya as well as chloroplasts and mitochondria. Its best characterised activity is the generation of mature 5'-ends of tRNAs by cleaving the 5'-leader elements of precursor-tRNAs.
Source: RNAcentral